GACGAACGCUGGCGGCGUGCUUAACACAUGCAAGUCGAACGGUAAGGCUCCAGCUUGCUGGGGUACACGAGUGGCGAACGGGUGAGUAACACGUGGGUGACCUGCCCUGCACUUCGGGAUAAGCCUGGGAAACUGGGUCUAAUACCGGAUAGGACCAUGGUGUGGAUACUGUGGUGGAAAGUUUUUUCGGUGUGGGAUGGGCCCGCGGCCUAUCAGCUUGUUGGUGGGGUAAUGGCCUACCAAGGCGGCGACGGGUAGCCGGCCUGAGAGGGUGGACGGCCACAUUGGGACUGAGACACGGCCCAGACUCCUACGGGAGGCAGCAGUGGGGAAUAUUGCACAAUGGGAGGAAGCCUGAUGCAGCAACGCCGCGUGGGGGAUGACGGCCUUCGGGUGGUAAACUCCUUUCACCAUCGACGAAGGGUUUCUGACGGUAGAUGGAGAAGAAGCACCGGCUAACUACGUG
This 466-nucleotide ribosomal RNA is filed under the name uncultured bacterium. Its description in RNAcentral is "partial 16S ribosomal RNA". It matches the Rfam family "Bacterial small subunit ribosomal RNA", at positions 28 to 507 of the family's 1533-position model. The record is from RNAcentral.